AUUGAACGCUGGCGGCAGGCCUAACACAUGCAAGUCGAGCGGUAGCACAGAGAGCUUGCUCUCGGGUGACGAGCGGCGGACGGGUGAGUAAUGUCUGGGAAACUGCCUGAUGGAGGGGGAUAACUACUGGAAACGGUAGCUAAUACCGCAUAAUGUCGCAAGACCAAAGUGGGGGACCUUCGGGCCUCAUGCCAUCAGAUGUGCCCAGAUGGGAUUAGCUAGUAGGUGGGGUAACGGCUCACCUAGGCGACGAUCCCUAGCUGGUCUGAGAGGACGACCAGCCACACUGGAACUGAGACACGGUCCAGACUCCUACGGGAGGCAGCAGUGGGGAAUAUUGCACAAUGGGCGCAAGCCUGAUGCAGCCAUGCCGCGUGUGUGAAGAAGGCCUUCGGGUUGUAAAGCACUUUCAGCGGGGAGGAAGGCGAUAAGGUUAAUAACCUUGUCGAUUGACGUUACCCGCAGAAGAAGCACCGGCUAACUCCGUGCCAGCAGCCGCGGUAAUACGGAGGGUGCAAGCGUUAAUCGGAAUUACUGGGCGUAAAGCGCACGCAGGCGGUCUGUCAAGUCGGAUGUGAAAUCCCCGGGCUCAACCUGGGAACUGCAUUCGAAACUGGCAGGCUAGAGUCUUGUAGAGGGGGGUAGAAUUCCAGGUGUAGCGGUGAAAUGCGUAGAGAUCUGGAGGAAUACCGGUGGCGAAGGCGGCCCCCUGGACAAAGACUGACGCUCAGGUGCGAAAGCGUGGGGAGCAAACAGGAUUAGAUACCCUGGUAGUCCACGCCGUAAACGAUGUCGAUUUGGAGGUUGUGCCCUUGAGGCGUGGCUUCCGGAGCUAACGCGUUAAAUCGACCGCCUGGGGAGUACGGCCGCAAGGUUAAAACUCAAAUGAAUUGACGGGGGCCCGCACAAGCGGUGGAGCAUGUGGUUUAAUUCGAUGCAACGCGAAGAACCUUACCUGGUCUUGACAUCCACAGAACUUUCCAGAGAUGGAUUGGUGCCUUCGGGAACUGUGAGACAGGUGCUGCAUGGCUGUCGUCAGCUCGUGUUGUGAAAUGUUGGGUUAAGUCCCGCAACGAGCGCAACCCUUAUCCUUUGUUGCCAGCGGUUCGGCCGGGAACUCAAAGGAGACUGCCAGUGAUAAACUGGAGGAAGGUGGGGAUGACGUCAAGUCAUCAUGGCCCUUACGACCAGGGCUACACACGUGCUACAAUGGCAUAUACAAAGAGAAGCGACCUCGCGAGAGCAAGCGGACCUCAUAAAGUAUGUCGUAGUCCGGAUUGGAGUCUGCAACUCGACUCCAUGAAGUCGGAAUCGCUAGUAAUCGUAGAUCAGAAUGCUACGGUGAAUACGUUCCCGGGCCUUGUACACACCGCCCGUCACACCAUGGGAGUGGGUUGCAAAAGAAGUAGGUAGCUUAACCUUCGGGAGGGCGCUUACCACUUUGUGAUUCAUGACUGGGGUGA
This 1463-nucleotide ribosomal RNA is filed under the name uncultured Klebsiella sp. RNAcentral's name for it is "bacterial SSU rRNA". It matches the Rfam family "Bacterial small subunit ribosomal RNA". The record is from RNAcentral. Lineage: Bacteria; Pseudomonadati; Pseudomonadota; Gammaproteobacteria; Enterobacterales; Enterobacteriaceae.